UAGCGGAGGAAAAGAAACCAACAGGGAUUGCCCCAGUAACGGCGAAGUGAAGCGGCAACAGCUCAAAUUUGAAAUCUGGCCCCAGGCCCGAGUUGUAAUUUGCAGAGGAUGCUUUUGGCGCGGUGCCUUCCGAGUUCCCUGGAACGGGACGCCAUAGAGGGUGAGAGCCCCGUACGGUUGGACACCAAGCCUUUGUAAAGCUCCUUCGACGAGUCGAGUAGUUUGGGAAUGCUGCUCAAAAUGGGAGGUAUAUUUCUUCUAAAGCUAAAUAUAGGCCAGAGACCGAUAGCGCACAAGUAGAGUGAUCGAAAGAUGAAAAGCACUUUGAAAAGAGGGUUAAACAGCACGUGAAAUUGUUAAAAGGGAAGCGCUUGUGACCAGACUUGCGUCCGGUGAAUCACCCAGCUCUCGCGGCUGGGGCACUUCGCCGGCACAGGCCAGCAUCAGCUUGCCGUCGGGGACAAAAGCUUCAGGAACGUAGCUCUCUUCGGGGAGUGUUAUAGCCUGUUGCAUAAUACCCUUCGGCGGGCUGAGGUACGCGCUCCGCAAGGAUGCUGGCGUAAUGGUCAUCAGCGACCCGUCUUGAAACACGGACCAAGGAGUCAACCUUAUGUGCGAGUGUUUGGGUGUUAAACCCCUACGCGUAAUGAAAGUGAACGCAGGUGAGAGCUUCGGCGCAUCAUCGACCGAUCCUGAUGUUCUCGGAUGGAUUUGAGUAAGAGCAUAUAGGGUUGGACCCGAAAGAAGGUGAACUAUGCGUGUGUAGGGUGAAGCCAGAGGAAACUCUGGUGGAGGCUCGCAGCGGUUCUGACGUGCAAAUCGAUCGUCAAACAUGCGCAUGGGGGCGAAAGACUAAUCGAACCUUCUAGUAGCUG
RNAcentral lists this ribosomal RNA (875 nucleotides) under Colletotrichum fioriniae. RNAcentral's name for it is "LSU rRNA". It matches the Rfam family "Eukaryotic large subunit ribosomal RNA", at positions 48 to 953 of the family's 3401-position model. The record is from RNAcentral. Lineage: Eukaryota; Fungi; Ascomycota; Sordariomycetes; Glomerellales; Glomerellaceae.